AUAUACUGGAUUUAAUAAAAUAUAAUACUAAAAUCAAUUCAUUUUUGUUUUAUAACAUGGCUACUAGAAAAUUCUAAGUUACCAUGCGGCUCAUGUUAAAUUUAUAUUUAUAUAUUAUAUGUUAUAUUUGUAUGUUAUUUUAAAUAUAAAUAUGUUAACCACAAGUCUAUUCUGCAAGUCCAUUAUUUUCUUUUCUGUGGAAAGGUUCAUUUGUGCCUUAUUUUAGAUUGCAGAUAUAAGUGAUAUCAUAUGGUAUUUAUCUUCUGACUUACUUCACUCAGUAUGAGAGUCUCUAGUUCCAUCCAUGUUGCUGCAAAUGGCUUGAUGUGGUUGGGGAGCUUGGGGUUAACAGAUACCAACUAUUGCCUGUGGAAUGGAUUAGCAAUGAGAUCCUGCUGUGUAGCACUGGAAACUAUGUCUAGUCACUUAUGAUGGAGCAUGAUAAUGGGAGAAAAUACAAUGUGUACAUGUAUGUGUAACUGGGUCACCAUGCUAUACACUAAAAAAAAAAAAUUGUAUUGGGGAAAUAACUAUGAAAAAAAUAAUAGUAACAAAAAUAAAAAAUAAAAAAAAUACGGAGCUCCUAUCAUAGCUCAGUGGUUAAUGAAUCCGACUAGGAACCGUGAGGUUGCAGGUUCGAUACCUGGCCUCGCUCAGUGGGUUAAGUGUCUGGCGUUGCCCGUGAGCUGUGGUGUAGGUCACAGACUAGGCUCGGAUCUGGUGUUGCUGUGGCUCUGGUGUAGGCCGGCGGCUAUAGCUCUGAUUAGACCCCUAGCCUGGGAACCUCCAUAUGCCACGGGUACGGCCCUAGAAAAGACAAAAGACAAAAAAAUAAUAAUAAAAAAAAUUAAAAAUAAAUUUUAAAAAGUUUAAACUCUGAAAUAAGUAAAUAAAUAAAUAUAAACAUGUUAUAUUUAUAAGUUAAAUUUAUAUGUUUAACUAUUUAAUGCUUCAGAUUGACCAAGCUGGGUAUCAGACCCACAAUUCAUAUUCUGUUUAUUUGACCCAAAUUUUGUUUUUAACUUAAGGGAAUUUCACCAGAGAAACACUUUCAACAAGAUAUUUUCAAGAAACUCCUCAAGCAAACUCUACAUGUAUUAAAACCUGAAUAAGCAACACUUAAGUAAUAAAAAUGUUCACAGAAAGCUUAAACUAGGAAAUGCAAUACAUAUUUUCAGUAUAAGGCUGAUAAUGAAAAGGGAAAUUAAUCUGUGGAAUAAAAACUAAAAGAGCUAUUGAAAGAAAAUAUAAAUGUUGGGACCAUUAGAAUACUCUAAUUUUCCUUCCAAAAGAGUUGAAAACGUUGUGAAAUACAUAUAAAUUAAUGUAAUUAAUAGGAAUCUGAAUAUUUGAGCUUUUUGGCAAUUCUUUGUAUCAGCUGUUCCACAGCAAUAACUCCAGGUCAUCCUGCUGCAAAAGCUGUGACUCUAGGGUGACUCAUUUUGUCCCACAUCAUCUUUGUGUCUUUGCCCAACCUUCUCACUUAGCCUAGACCAUGCCCUCACCCCACUUUGACAAUACUUGCAUUUAUAUUCCCCUUUUCCUAAAACCCACAUCUGAAAAACAUGGGGUGUCUCCAAGGAGAGAUCAGCGUACACUUAAGGACUACUAAGUUAUUAGAAACUUGCAUUUCUAGAAAUCUAGAUGGCAUGAAUAUCCCUCACCUAUCUUGAAACAGGUAUCUUGGGGGUGGCCUGCAUUGUAGGAAUAACAGGCCUUUGCUGCUCAGGCCCACUAAGAACUUACCCAAGGGCCCAAACUGAAAAGUCACUACUCCUACAGACCUUGCUCCAAAAUGCCAGACAACUAGUCUCCUAAGUUCCAUGAAAUGUCCAAAAUUGUUUUUUAAAAUCCUGAUAUCACAAAAAGAUUAUUUUUAAAACCACAGGGGUGUCAUAUGGAAGUUCCCAGGCUAGGGCUCGAAUCAGAGCUACAGCUACUGGCCUAUGCCACAGCCACAGCCACAGCCACACCAGAUAUGAGCUAUGUCUGCACACUAUGCAACAGCUUGUGGCAAUGCCAGAUCCUUAACCACUGAACAAAGCCAGAGAUUGAACCUGAAUCCUCAUGGAUACUAGUCGGGUUCAUUUCCACUGAGCCACAAUGAGAACUCCAAAAAAAAAAAAAAAGCAGUAUCUUUGAGUGUUUCCUCUGUGCCAGGCAAUGGCUUAAGGGGAUACUCAUUUUCUCAUAAUUUUAAACUUCCAUAAAUUGAGAAAAUGGCAUGAUGCACUCUGCUGUACCCAUCACAGUGUCAAGUAUCUGUCUAUCGCCAAUCUUGUCUCAUCUACAAGCUGGUCCAUUCCUCACAACCCCUACUUGAUUAUUUGAAACAGAUACACAUAUUAUUUCAUCUAUAGUAUUUCAGUAUGUGUCUCUAAAAACAAUUAUGUUUUAAACAUGAAGUUGUAGCAUAGAUGUAAUGUAAAGAACAUAAUUCCAUGUGCACAGCUUGAUGAAUUUUUGCAAGUGUAGCUACUCGUGUAACCAUCACACAGAUUCAGAGACAGCAUAUUCUCAGCCUCAUAGAAACCUCUUUCAUGCCUCUCCAGAUCAGUGUCUUUCCAAAUAAAUCUGCCAUACUGACUUAAAAUGCCAAAGAUUGGUUUUGUAUGUUCGUGAUCCUCAUAUGAAUAGGAAUGCAGAGAAUGUGCUCUUUUGAGGCUGGUUUCAUUUGCUCCCAUUAUGUCUAUGACAGCUGCACACGUGGUGAUGUUAGCAGUAAUUUGUUCUUUUAAUUUACAAGUUGUAAUCAAUUACAAAAAUACAGCAAAUUAAUUUCAUCAUUUCUCUUCCUGGAUAUCUGGGCUGGUUCUCAUUAUGGGUCAUAAAGAAAGCUGCUAAGAGUCCCCUUUACACGUUUUUCGGCAGACGUAUGCACUCAUGUCUUUAGAAUAUAGAGCCAGCAGGAGAAUUAAUGGGCUAUGUGGUAGCCAUGUUCUCAGCUUAAUUGAUACUGUCAAACAUUUUUUUUUUAAAUAGUGUGCCAAUUCAUUCUUCUGUCAGCAAGGCAUAAAAUUUAUUACUGCUCCAUAUUCUUGCCAACAUCUAAUUUUGUUCAGUUUAGCCAUAUUUUCACUAGUGAUGUUGAACACCUUAUUGAAUGCUUGCUGGAUAUUAGACUUUCUAUUUUGUGAAGUGCCUAUUCAAAAAAUUUGUCCUUUUUAUGAGAUUUCUAAUUUUUUUUGGAGUUUUGUGAAUCGUCUGUAUAUCAUGCUUAGGCCUAUGGAUUGAUGUUUUUUAAACUCAUCAGUGUCUUCCUUUUCCUAUUGUUUUUUUAUGUCGACUUUUAAAAGCAAAAGUUCCUAAUUUUGUUUUUAAUUUAUUGUUUUCUACAACCAUAGCUGUGGCAUAUGGAAGUUCUCAGGCUAGGGGGUCGAAUCUGAGCUACAGCUACAGCUGCAGGCCUGCGCCGCAGCCAUGGCAACAGAGGAUCUGAGCCACAACUGAGACCUAUGCCACAGCUUGUGGCAAUGCCAGACCCCUAACCCACUGAGCAAGGCCAGGGAUCAAACACACAUCCUCACGGGCAUUAUGUGGGGUUCUUAACCCACUGAGCCACAGUGGGAGCUCCAGUUCUGAAUUUUAGUGAAGUCAAAUUCAUGAUUUCAUUUCUGCUAGGGCUGUUUUGGUUUCAGGAAUCUGCAUACCCCAAUAUCAGGCAGAUAGACAUCAAUGUUCUAUUCUGUAAGUUUCACUCAUGCAUCUUACAAAUGAAGGUUAAUUGCCCAUCUGAAAUUAACCUUUAUCUAUGACUUGAGGUAGGGAACAACACUCCAUUUUUUCAUGUGGCUAUGCAAGUACCUCAGCAUUAUUUUUUGAAAAGAAUGACCAUUGAUCUGUUCUCCUUGCAUUCAUCACAACCCUGUCAUCAUCAAGUGAUUCAUGAGUCUUUUCAGGUUUCUUCAUUUAGUUCCAUUGAUCUGCUUAUCUUGGAAUCAGUCCUCCACUCUUUUAUGGAGAAAGUUUUAAGGUAAAUUUGCAUAGUAAGUACUGUAAUUCAAACAACUUUCUUCUGUUUCCUUGAGGUCGCUUUGGCUCUUUUUGGCCCUUUGUUGUUCAUAAAACUUUAAAAACCUGGGCGAUUUUUGUGAACAAGUAAAAAAUUCUCUUCACUGAUUUUCAGAUUGCAUUUGACAUGUAGGCCAAUUUGGGUAAACUUCAUGUUUUUACAACAUUGGGAUUUCCAGUCCAUUAAAGCACACGAUAGGCCCCAACCCACUGGUGUCUUCUUUACAUUCAAAAAUAUUUAAGUGUACAGAGGCCUUGCGCAGUAUGGAUAGGCAUUUUACUAGGUGUUUUGGUAGAUGCAUUCCAAGAUGGUUUUCACCAAACCAUGUUUAUUUUUGUGUGGAUUUUUAAUUUGUGUUUUCUAGUUUUUAUGGCUAGUGUAUAGAGGUUCUACUGGCUUUGUGUAUCUGACUUGUCAAGCAACCUUUCCAAAUUUAGUAAUUGCUGGUUUUUAAGUUCAGUAAUUAAUUCCAAUGAUACAACUUUUCAUGUCUUUUAAAUAUGUCAACCCACAAUCAAAUAAUAUACAGAUAGUGGCAGACCAUUAUAUUUAUUUAUCCUGUCUUUAUAGCCCUUUCUAGGAUCUCUAGGUCAAUGAUAAACAGGGAUGAAGGGAACGGACAUCCCAUCACACCCUUCAUUUCAACAGAAAAGUUCUCAAUAUUCAAAACAACGUGAUGUUUUCUACAUUCCCUUCACCAAACUAACAAGCGUUUCUGUUCCAAGUGUGCAAGAAUUAUUAAUAGCGAAUGGUAAUUUCAUGUUAUAGAAUGCUUUUUUCUGCAUUACUGACAUGAAAACAUUUUCUUCCACUUGUUCUGAAUAAUGUGGUGGAUUACAUCUGCUAAUUUUCAAUUUUUAAACCAACCUAUAAGAGAGAAUAGUAUAGUUUAUCAUUACUGUAAUAAACCUCCCUUCAUGGUUCUGUGUCUCCUUUACUGUGUUAUUACUCUGUUUACCUAUUUAAUGAUUUUUCUGUUGAUUGUGACUGCAUCAGCCUGUAAUUCAACUUCUUACAAAAAUCUUUUCCGGUUUUGGCAUGAAAGUUAUUCUUCCCUCAUAGCCAAGUUGAGAAUUUUUCCUCCUUUUCUUCUUCUCUGGAUCAGUUUGUGUAAAAUUAGUAUUGUUUAUUUUUGUAAAUGCUUGGAAGAACUUAUUAAUGAAGCUACUUUGCACUGAAUUUUGCCUGUGCAUGUGAUGUUAUUCAUUAUGGAUUCAACGAUUUAUAUUGAAAUAUUCUGUUAUUCUUUUUCUUUUGGUCACAGUUUUUUCAGCUAUGUUUUAAGCAUUAAUAUAUUUAUUUUAUGUAAACUGUUUAUUUUAUUGGCCUAAAGUUCUCUAUGAUGAUUAUUAGUCUUUAUACCUGUUAGAGAGGUACUGAUGUUCCUAUUUUGAAUUGUUAAGUAUGAUAAUUUCCAUUAUUUUCUCUUUCCCU
RNAcentral lists this long non-coding RNA (5446 nucleotides) under Sus scrofa (pig). Its description in RNAcentral is "lncRNA (ENSSSCG00035069737.1)". The record is from RNAcentral. Lineage: Eukaryota; Metazoa; Chordata; Mammalia; Artiodactyla; Suidae.